This 330-nucleotide ribosomal RNA is filed under the name Triticum aestivum (bread wheat). RNAcentral describes it as "partial small subunit ribosomal RNA". The record is from RNAcentral. Lineage: Eukaryota; Viridiplantae; Streptophyta; Magnoliopsida; Poales; Poaceae.
UGGCGUCUUGCUAACGAACCAGAAAUUCGCGAGGUAGAUGAUAACCUCUUCGUCAUCCAGCUCUUUUAUUUGGGCGACUGGAACAUGGUCAUGCACCAGGGCCCGUGGAUCUACAGAAACCUCGUGGUUGCCAUCAAGGAAUAUGACGGCAAGGGGAAACCUAAUUCUGUCCCGCUGGAUAGAGUCCAUAUCUGGGCACAGAUUCAUGACACUCCCGAGCUUUAUAGGAAGGAACCAAUCAUGGAUAAGCUGGCUCGCCGUAUAGGACAAGUGAAGAGCAUAGAUAUGAAUCCUCCUCGUAAUUUUGAGGGCAAAUAUGUUAGGGUCUGA